GCAUAGGUGGUUCAGUGGUAGAAUGCUCGCCUGCCACGCGGGCGGUUCGAUUCCCGGCCGAUGCA
Molecule: transfer RNA, 65 nt
Filed under: Cordylochernes scorpioides
Lineage: Eukaryota; Metazoa; Arthropoda; Arachnida; Pseudoscorpiones; Chernetidae
Description: tRNA-Gly
Rfam family: tRNA
About the family: Transfer RNA (tRNA) molecules are approximately 80 nucleotides in length. Their secondary structure includes four short double-helical elements and three loops (D, anti-codon, and T loops).
Source: RNAcentral